This is a long non-coding RNA of Rhineura floridana, 683 nucleotides long. RefSeq lists it as uncharacterized. NCBI's taxonomy places the organism in Eukaryota, Metazoa, Chordata, Lepidosauria, Squamata, Rhineuridae. The record is from RefSeq and is a predicted model, not a curated record. The transcript is spliced from 3 exons.
GGAAAGGAUACAACUUUCUUACUCUUUUCACAUAAGUGGAUGACAUUUUCAGGCAAAAGAAUUCCUCCAGAGUGGAUUAAGCCUGGUAAAUCGAGGGUUUUCAUGCAAGGAACCUUUAAAGUUUGGAAGAAGAAGAAGAAAUCAUCUGUAACUUUUUUAUUUUCUGCCAGAAUUGGAUGCAAAUUGCAGGCAUGUUUGCCUCUUCGCCUCUUCUGAAGGGAAUGACGCUUGCCAAAUUAAAAAGACCUUCUUCAAAAAGCAGGGAGAUGGCCAACUGAGGAGCCCAGGGAUGCUGCCUGCAGGCCACAUGUGACUGAAAAAGGUAUAGGAGUAUGGUUGAAAGAAUAUGUGUGUCUGUGGAAGAGAAGGGCAGAAACAGAGCAAUGACAGAUGGUCAGACACCAUGGAUAUGUGCUGGUUGGAAAGAUCAAGCUGAAAAUGGCAAGUAAAAUGAGAUAAUCACACUGGGCCCAAUGGCCUGGGCUCUGCUCUCAUCACUUAUUCAGAACAGGACCUCCUGCUGAUUGACAAGAAAGAAUAGGGUGUACUUAUCUGAAAGGAAUCAUUUCACACAGUAUGUAGUUACCAACUGAGCAGACAAAUGUUGAAAUCAGAACUCUCUCUCUCUUCCUAGCCAAACACCUUUUCUAAUAUUCUCGCCAUUGAACAUGUGCCAUUUUUGA